CAGAAGCCUACCAACUCAAUACAAUUUCCUACCAACACUCAUUCCUUACAGUUGCGCUUUUCUGGGUUGCUGUAGUUCAAUUUAGAAAAUGACGUUUGGUUGACAUAAUUCAGUGUUUUUUUUAAUAAUUUCCUUUGUGUCUUUUCCGAGGUGGUAUUCAUGUUCGGGUUGCUAAAUGUUUACAAAUGGAGCCCACCCUUGGCGUCACAACUGUCGGGUGUGGCACAGGUAGCUAACAAAAGCUAACAGGUAGCAUCAGGUAGGUAGCCAAAGAGCCGCCAACCAGCUAGCCGUCCUCCUGUUGUUGGUCCUUGGGCACCUUGGAAAUCUUGAGUCGGGCGGCAAAAUAUUCCGAGUUACGUGCAGCUUGUUUGUUUAGUCGCUGGGAGGAAGGGAGAGGAAAGAAACUCAAGGGGCUAUAAUUAUCCUCAAGAGCCAUUUUUUUUUCCUAUCGUCUUCCUCUUUCAAUUUUCAUUCGAGACGGGGGACAACCAAGUCGGCAAGCAACAUGGAGGAGCUCCACGACUGAGGACGACAAAAAAAUCUAAACCCCAUAAAUAAGGAAACUACGAAUUAAUUGACGGACGAUUGAAGAAGACUACACUCAUUCAUCCAACUCAAGUAUCUACUUAAUAUUUAUGUUCGGCUUCCACCCACACGCUUCGUGUUGAAGUUUGAGCGACAAUGGGUGAUGUGGACCUGGAGCAGCGGGAUCCGUUUCCCGUGGAGCGAGAAGAUGAGAAACCGGGCGAAGAAGACCUUCCAGACGGGAGGGUGAAAUUGGGAUGCUGCGAGAAGUUCCAGCAGAGCAUCUCCAGGUGGAUGCUCCCGGCAGACGCCCGCAGCACCUACCUGCAGCGGGCCAACUGCUGCCCGCCACCUAUUUUCAUUAUCGUCAUCAGUGUUGUCGAGCUUUCCAUGUUCAUCUACUACGCUGUGUGGAAGCCUCAGAAGCAGUGGGUGACGCUUGAGGAGGGCAUCUGGAACAGUCGCCUGACGUACCGACCCGAGUACAGGCAGGAAGCGUGGCGCUUUCUCUCCUACAUGUUUGUCCAUGCCGGCGUGGAGCACAUCUUGGGGAACCUGUUCAUGCAGCUGCUGCUGGGCAUCCCAUUGGAGCUGGUCCACAAAGGCUUUGAAGUAGGAAUGAUUUACCUGGCGGGAGUCUUGGCAGGCUCACUGGCCAGCUCCAUCUUUGAUCCCAUGAGUGCCCUGGUGGGAGCUUCCGGGGGGGUCUAUGCCCUCAUUGGGGGCUACUUUAUGAACGCUGUGGUGAAUUUCCGAGAGAUGAUCCCUCUGCUCGGGGUGUUUCGCAUCCUUGUCAUCGUGAUCAUCUUGGGCGUGGACUUUGGCUUCGCAUUCUACAGACGAUUUCCCGGCGACGAGGGCGGCAUGAAGGUGUCGUUCGUGGCUCAUUUCGGGGGGAUUGUGGCCGGCAUGACGGUGGGCUACGUAUUCUUUAGCGACUACAACAAGAAGCUGCUGAAGGACCCUCGCUUCUGGAUGUGUAUCGUGGGCUACCUGGUUUUCUUCCUCUUCGCCGUGGUCUUCAACAUCUUCAUCUCGCCUGUAUCCACCUAGCAUAACAGCUCACUAUUUGUUAGUUUUAGUGCCUUAAGGUUUUAUUACAACUUUAGUCGGGGGAGAAGAGCAAAGGCCCCGUGACCCACAGAGAUUGAAGUCAUCGCCAGUCCAUUCCGCCGCAAGCUUUAGGAUUCCAGCAAACCAGAGGGUGGUGAAUCUUCCCAGAAGUUGUCAGCUGACAAAGAUGAACCCCAAGAGAACAGCAGUGACUCAUCCCGGAAGCCACGAAGGAACUCGGACAACUUCUAAAGAACUGCAGGCCUCCCUUGCCUCAGUUAAGGACCUGGACAACUUGCUGUGAUUAAUGGAUCCCUAAAUUUUGCUCUCGGUGCCAGCAUACACCACAGUGAUCACAAUCUUUUUGUUUGUAAAAAAACAACGUCAAUCAUUUUCCCAUAACAUGACACAGAAACCAAUGAACGCUUCAUUCUGUACUUUUAUGGACAUCUCUCAUUUUCACAGAGGACUAUUGAUUGUAAAAUUUCAACUAGCCCUACAGUUUAAUCGAAAUGAAUCAUUUUUACAUCACCAGAUGUGCAACUAAAAUUACUAAACUUGCACCAAUUCUUCCUUUUUAUUGAAAGUCAUUUUCACAUAAUAAUGACAAUCUGUAUUUACCCCCAUCACUCUGUAGCUGAAUGAAAAUUUCACAUAAUCUACUGUAAUAAUAAACUUGCUACUACAUUACAUAGUUAAAUGAGGGGAGGAAUUUUAUCUUCACAUAAUCCAGCAAGUAAAACUGCAUUCCACCCCUUACUUAGUUUUAUGAAAGUGAUUUGUUUUCCCCACAUGAAAAAAAGUCAACCAAUACGUGAGUAGCAUGUGCAAAACAUUUUAAUCAUUCAGAUACUCAGAAAUGUGAAGAAACUGAAUCUCUACCUUUGUCAAAUCUAACAACAAAAUGUACAAGACUUACUGAAUAGUAAUACAAGGAUUGUGAUCAUAUAUUAAAAUGGCUCUUUAUCUGCAGUGUUCUGCUUUGUAAUUGACAACCAGUAACAGUUUAAAGUUAAAAAAAAAGUUUAAAGCUGUAAUAUUGAUGUGAAUGUGACCUGAACAUACACCGAAGCAUGUCAACAGACCUCUGCAAUUAUGAUCAUCAAACUACAAGUCGUGAUGUUUGUCUGUCAAAAAUAGAAAUCAGUCAAAAAAAAAAAAAAAGAA
RNA transcript from Syngnathoides biaculeatus (alligator pipefish), 2748 nucleotides. It is a transcript of the gene named rhomboid, veinlet-like 2 (Drosophila), with no coding region annotated. The transcript has 11 exons. Lineage: Eukaryota; Metazoa; Chordata; Actinopteri; Syngnathiformes; Syngnathidae. The record is from RefSeq and is a predicted model, not a curated record.